RNAcentral lists this ribosomal RNA (320 nucleotides) under uncultured eukaryote. RNAcentral's name for it is "partial 18S ribosomal RNA". It matches the Rfam family "Eukaryotic small subunit ribosomal RNA", at positions 1470 to 1796 of the family's 1831-position model. The record is from RNAcentral.
CCCCUAGAUGUUCUGGGCCGCACGCGCGCUACACUGAACAGUUCAACAAGUCUUAACCUUGGCCGAUAGGUCUGGGUAAUCUUUGAACGCUGUUCGUGAUUGGGAUAGACCUUUGCAAUUAUGGGUCUUCAACGAGGAAUUCCUAGUAAACGCAAGUCAUCAGCUUGCAUUGAUUACGUCCCUGCCCUUUGUACACACCGCCCGUCGCACCUACCGAUUGAAUGGUCCGGUGAAAUCUCGGGGCGGCGGCUUGGUCGCUUGCGUCCGACUGCUGAAACUUGAUUAAACCAUAUCAUUUAGAGGAAGGUGAANUCGUAACA